CCUGUAGCUCAAUUGGAUAGAGCAUCUGACUACGGAUCAGAAGGUUGCAGGUUCGACUCCUGCCAGGC
RNAcentral lists this transfer RNA (68 nucleotides) under bovine gut metagenome. It matches the Rfam family "tRNA". Rfam says of the family: Transfer RNA (tRNA) molecules are approximately 80 nucleotides in length. Their secondary structure includes four short double-helical elements and three loops (D, anti-codon, and T loops). Further hydrogen bonds mediate the characteristic L-shaped molecular structure. tRNAs have two regions of fundamental functional importance: the anti-codon, which is responsible for specific mRNA codon recognition, and the 3' end, to which the tRNAs corresponding amino acid is attached (by aminoacyl-tRNA synthetases). tRNAs cope with the degeneracy of the genetic code in two manners: having more than one tRNA (with a specific anti-codon) for a particular amino acid; and 'wobble' base-pairing, i.e. permitting non-standard base-pairing at the 3rd anti-codon position. The record is from RNAcentral.